UGAUAACUAUAGAGCCCUAAGAAAACAGAUUGGGAAGGGCAAACUGCUGGUGAAAAAGAUAGAGUCUCUUGUGAACUCAGCAUGCAACUGUAGCUUAGGGCACCGAGGGAGAGCUGAUGGAAAGGGAGCUUCUCGAACUGAGAACCAAACUGACCAAACAGGAGAAUCUCCUUCAGAGUACAACUGAGCGUCUGAAGACCGCCAUCCAGCAGAAGGAGAACAUGGAGCAGUUCAUCUUCAGCCAUUUGAGCAGGACACAUGAUGUUCUAAAGAAGGCAAGGACUAAUUUGGAGGUACAAAGUACUGCUAGAAGAUACAACAAAUAUGCAUGAAACUUGAUUUUUAAUAAAAGCUUCUCUACCCAUGAAAAAAGUAUAAAACAGCAACUCAAGUUAAAUCCCAUUCAUCACCAGGAAUCAAUUUCAGAACUAUCAACCUCUCCAUAUUUUGACUCCAGAAGGCUGUAUCAAUUGGAAACAUCACCCUCCUCCCAUCUUCAAAUGU
Molecule: long non-coding RNA, 504 nt
Organism: Choloepus didactylus (southern two-toed sloth)
Lineage: Eukaryota; Metazoa; Chordata; Mammalia; Pilosa; Megalonychidae
Exons: 4
Source: RefSeq, a predicted model, not a curated record